GAGCGCCUUUAUGGAGAGUGUCGCGGUUCCGCCGCGAACGCCGAAGGGGCAAACCGGUUGAUCGCUGGGCAGCCGGUGAAACUCUCAGGCUCAAGGACAUGAAGCGUGCA
This 110-nucleotide non-coding RNA is filed under the name Chloroflexota bacterium. RNAcentral's name for it is "Chloroflexi bacterium Glycine sequence". It matches the Rfam family "Glycine riboswitch aptamer". Rfam says of the family: This family represents the bacterial glycine riboswitch. Glycine riboswitches usually consist of two metabolite-binding aptamers domains with similar structures in tandem. Lineage: Bacteria; Bacillati; Chloroflexota. The record is from RNAcentral.